RNAcentral lists this long non-coding RNA (438 nucleotides) under Lotus japonicus. Its description in RNAcentral is "long non-coding RNA (LJAP_LNC000194)". The record is from RNAcentral. Lineage: Eukaryota; Viridiplantae; Streptophyta; Magnoliopsida; Fabales; Fabaceae.
UUUACUAUCUCACGCUAGUUUACUUUGGAUAGAGAGUUAAAGAUAGCUGCUAUAACUUGAUCCAAGACACAAUGUGUAGUGAAACAGCCAAUAGUCAUGUUCAUUACAUCUAGAAGAUAAAAUCCUUUCGGAAUGUUAAAUGUCUUUUUCUUGUAUCUAGAAAAAACCCAGAUGAAGAAGAUGACGCAGCCAAAACGAAGCAGGAUCUUCUCUCUCGAGGUAGUUCUUUAGAGGCCAACAAGUUACCUCCAAACGAUGAAACCGAGAGUUCCCAGCACACUAACCGAAGAGUUAGCCGACGCGAGCAAGGAGGACUCUAAUAAUGGCGAUGAUGAUUCAACCUCUGAUCCACCCUUGUCCAGAUUGUCCCAACAACUUGGAUCAAAGAUAGCUUGAACUGAAAUACCAAAACUAGGCAACAUGCUGGUGAUUUUNNNN